CACAGAGGCUGUAGAAUGUGCACGGGGGCUUGGUCUCUCUUGCUGCCCUAGAGACCAGCUGCCCCACGAAGGAACCAGAGCCAACCUGCUGCUUCCUGGAGGAAGACAGUCCCUCUGUCCCUCUGUCUCUGCCAACCAGUUAACCUGCUGCUUCCUGGAGGAAGACGUCACUCUGUCUCUGCCAACCCAGCUGACCGCAGACAUGCAGGUCUGCUCAGGAAAAGCUUUGGAUCACAAUUCCCAGUGCUGAAGAAAAGGCCAAACUCUGGAAAAAAUUUUGAAUAUUUUGAGCCAAAUGUGAGGACCACAACCUGUGAGAACGGAAAAUAAAUCCUGGGACCCCAGACUCACUAAGCCAAAGGGAAAAGCCAAGCUGGGAACUGGCUUAUGCAAACCUGCUUCCCAUCUGGUUCCUAAAUAAGAUAGCUAUUACACAAAG
This 439-nucleotide long non-coding RNA is filed under the name Homo sapiens (human). RNAcentral's name for it is "HSALNT0117429". Lineage: Eukaryota; Metazoa; Chordata; Mammalia; Primates; Hominidae. The record is from RNAcentral.